AGGAGCAUGAGGAGCGUGAGAACUACUUUAUACAUUCUCUUCGGCAUGUGCACUCUACGAACAGAGCUGGUCUUACAUACAGUCUCAGUAUCAAUGACUUUUCUGAUUGGUCAAACGCAGAGAGGGCCAGGUUGAGAGGAGGUAUACUGAUUCCAGAUCGGGAAAAGGAUACAGAAUAGGAGUUUGUCAUGCAAAUGUAACGGGGGGAAAAAUAAUAAAUUUUCUUAAAGUCUGCAUAAAACAGAAGUUGAAAUCAUCUUUUCUUCCCUAUUCCCAACUAUUUUGGUUGGGACUUGAUUUUGUCCAUCGGAAAUUGAUUGGAUCAUUGGAUUGUUGUUAUUUGCUAGUGCUAUGAUCACACGUUACUGGUUGCAGUAGACAAAAACUCAAUAAAACCGUUUUGAAAUCUGUGAGUUGUGAAAAUUGAUGUGAUUUAGAACAGUAAAAUUGGACAUUCAUUAUUACAACAACAUGUCACACAUUUAAGCUGGAAAAAACAGAUGUAGCCUAAUCAAAGCAAAAUAAUUAUAUUGUGAAUAAUAAACCCAAAUACCUGAAAUCUGAAUUAAAAAUUAUGUCAAU
Molecule: long non-coding RNA, 582 nt
Organism: Sinocyclocheilus grahami
Lineage: Eukaryota; Metazoa; Chordata; Actinopteri; Cypriniformes; Cyprinidae
Exons: 2
Source: RefSeq, a predicted model, not a curated record